GGCAGCUCCACGCCGGAAUUUGUGCACAUCCUCCACGGCUGCUUGACGAAACAGGCCGACAUCCACCCCACCGGCUAUCAUGUUGUAGCCACGCUCCCUGAGUUGCUCGGGCUUGUGUUGCUGGGUCGAGAUACCUCCUAGGAAAGGUCCCCGUCCGGCCUUCUGCAUUGCGAGCACCCUCUUCUCGGCGGCCAGGAGCACCUCCCUGGCCUUGGGGUUGCCUGGAUCCUUGAGGUAGCCCAUGCUGGCGCCGAGGUCCCGGGGACCCAUCUGGAUGCCGUCCACCCCGUCCACCGCCGCAAUAGC
This 306-nucleotide unclassified non-coding RNA is filed under the name Hevea brasiliensis (rubber tree). Lineage: Eukaryota; Viridiplantae; Streptophyta; Magnoliopsida; Malpighiales; Euphorbiaceae. The record is from RNAcentral.